Molecule: long non-coding RNA, 1084 nt
Organism: Diachasmimorpha longicaudata
Lineage: Eukaryota; Metazoa; Arthropoda; Insecta; Hymenoptera; Braconidae
Exons: 2
Source: RefSeq, a predicted model, not a curated record
CAAAAUAUUCAUCUUCUUUACGACCUGACUCACUGCUUGGGGCUAUAAUGAGUGGGUUGCUGAAGUAAAAAUGGAGAUGAAAGGAAUUUUUCGCCCUCUGGUAACCUUGAAGGACGUUCCCAAUGAGUUUUACCGUGUCAGGGAGCGAACGUCAGCAGCUCCUCGAAACGAUCUCUGAAUGGCACGAGCACAGCUAAUCUGUGGAGCGACUUCCCCGAGAGUUUUCGCACAUUUUUGGAGUCCUGCAGUCGUUCAGAGUAUCCAGGACAUUUGCAUCCCUCUGAAAUCAUGAAAAAUCAUUAUCAAUGAAGCGGACUGUUUUAACUUUCAACGUUCAAGGAUAUCCAAGUAUUUUCACAGCUGGGUAGAGCUCUCACCAGAGAUUCAAUCAUUUUCAAUGACAAUACCAUUGUGUCAAUGAGUGUUGAAGGUACACGAAAACCUGAAUGUUUUCACAUUUUUCAACUGAAUUUUAACAAUUUUUUUUUAGUUUUUUCUGGUGUCAUUACCGUACUAUUCAACCGAUUUCAAUGAAUAAAAAAAAACAAUUUUGGUCUCUCCAUGGUCUAUUGGGAUAUACCUUUUCAUUUUUCUUAUUACCCUGGUAGGAACUGCCAAGUAUUGACAACAUGGCCAAGCUGAGUUGACUCUAAACUACCAAACCUGGCAUUUCCUAACAUGUGUGUGGCUUCAACCGACGAUGAUGCCAAUCUAGGGCCAACGUUAUCUCGAUAGGUCACCCCGAAGCCCGGUAGUGACCCUAGCUCCUAGCCUGGUUCAAGCUUGUGGCCAGGCUAGGAACUUUCUAGAGUGGCUCUGGCUUCAGCCAAUGGUCAUCCCAAUGGAGUCAUAAAAUUAUGGAAAAUUUAUUGGAGUCGAUUAUGGUUUAUUUUUAUUUAAAAAAUCAACACUUGUCUUAUGUUAAUAGUCGAUUAAUGUCAAGUUGGUUAAUUAAAUAGACAUCACCUGCACGACUCAAUGUAUUCAAUACGAAGUUUCUUAUAUAUUAUGUUUAAGUGGUUGAUAUCAGAUUUUUCUAACAAUGUUAUAAAUGGAAAAUAAAAUAAAUAUGUGUUGAUUUUGA